This 613-nucleotide unclassified non-coding RNA is filed under the name Coniella heterospora. Its description in RNAcentral is "sequence contains ITS1, 5.8S rRNA gene and ITS2". The stretch from base 248 to 401 matches the Rfam family "5.8S ribosomal RNA". Lineage: Eukaryota; Fungi; Ascomycota; Sordariomycetes; Diaporthales; Schizoparmaceae. The record is from RNAcentral.
GAAGUAAAAGUCGUAACAAGGUCUCCGUUGGUGAACCAGCGGAGGGAUCAUUGCUGGAACUGUGUCCGCAAGGACACAACCCCAGAUACCCUUUGUGAACUUAUACCUAUAUAUCGUUGCCUCGGCGCUGAGCUGGAAGCACUUCGGUGCUUUCCCACUGAGCAAUCAGUGGAGCAGGCCCGCCGGUGGCCCAUUAAACUCUUGUUUAUUUUUGUCUUCUCUGAGUUAUUCAAAACAAAUGAAUCAAAACUUUCAACAACGGAUCUCUUGGUUCUGGCAUCGAUGAAGAACGCAGCGAAAUGCGAUACGUAAUGUGAAUUGCAGAAUUCAGUGAAUCAUCGAAUCUUUGAACGCACAUUGCGCCCGCUGGAAUUCCAGCGGGCAUGCCUGUUCGAGCGUCAUUUCACCCCUCAAGCUUUGCUUGGUGUUGGGGCACUACCAGUAAAACGGUAGGCCCUGAAAUUCAGUGGCGGGCUCGCUAAGACUCUGAGCGUAGUAGUUUACCACCUCGCUUUGGAAGGAUUAGCGGUGCUCUUGCCGUAAAACCCCCAACUUUUGAAAAUUUGACCUCGGAUCAGGUAGGAAUACCCGCUGAACUUAAGCAUAUCAAUAA